Molecule: ribosomal RNA, 132 nt
Filed under: Diaphorina citri (Asian citrus psyllid)
Lineage: Eukaryota; Metazoa; Arthropoda; Insecta; Hemiptera; Psyllidae
Source: RNAcentral
AUAGCCGGCGAUAGCACGUUGAACGGUGCACAGUUCCCAAUUGAUCACUGAAGUUAAGCAACAUUGUGUGUGGUUUUUUAGGAUGGGUGACCUGGUCACCGUGACCUGCUGGGCAAACCCGAGCUGGCUUUU